GCGAGGGUGGCGGAAUUGGCAGACGCGCCAGGUUUAGGUCCUGGUCCCGACUCGUCGGGAUGGGGGUUCGAAUCCCCCCCCUCGCA
RNAcentral lists this transfer RNA (86 nucleotides) under Phycisphaerae bacterium SM23_33. RNAcentral's name for it is "tRNA-Leu". It matches the Rfam family "tRNA". From Rfam's summary of the family: Transfer RNA (tRNA) molecules are approximately 80 nucleotides in length. Their secondary structure includes four short double-helical elements and three loops (D, anti-codon, and T loops). RNAcentral also lists the same sequence under 1 other name. Lineage: Bacteria; Pseudomonadati; Planctomycetota; Phycisphaerae. The record is from RNAcentral.